Molecule: long non-coding RNA, 716 nt
Organism: Diorhabda carinulata
Lineage: Eukaryota; Metazoa; Arthropoda; Insecta; Coleoptera; Chrysomelidae
Exons: 2
Source: RefSeq, a predicted model, not a curated record
UUCAAAAUCUUUACGUAUGAUAAUCAGCAAAAAUUGACUUAUUCUCAUAAGCAACUGAUUUAUUGGACAUAUAGAUGAGAACUUAAUAAAUAUUAGAAUUCGCUUAGGAAAGUUAAGUAGGAUAAGACCUAUAACAUAAAUUAAAAAAGAAGUUAUUAAAUUGUGUGUCGGUUGACCUAAAUUUAACUCUAAUUAUCUGAGAGUAUUUUUAUUUCGAUUUUACAAACAUGUUAUCACGAUUUGGUGUACUUUAUAAACCCGUUUAUAUGUUAAAAAUUCAUCCCAAUGUUAAUCAAAAUUUAAUUAGAAAUGGUGUAACCAAUAAACAUGGAGUUGUUUUACAAGAACCUCAUAAAACGUCCUUUGGAAUUUUAAAAAUAUUUAUUACUGUAACGUCGGGAUUACUAAUAGGAGCAGCAAUAAGCAAAAAUAUAGCCAAUUUCCUAGAAGAAAAUGAUCUCUUUGUACCAUCUGAUGAUGACGACGACGAUGACUAAUUUUUGAAACACUAGCUGCUUUUUAGAACUGGACCAGAAAUUUUUUGUUGUAUGAUUUAAAUGUAGAACCAAAUUAUUUUGCAAUACUAAAAGGAUAGAUAAUAUGGUAAAGAAGUAUUUCUUAAAUGAAAGUAACUUUAGCAACAAUGGAUACCAGAACAGAAGCCAAUCAUAUUCCCAUAUAUAUAAACGAUAUCAGUAAAUUCAUUACAAUUUUAA